Molecule: non-coding RNA, 4854 nt
Organism: Zootermopsis nevadensis
Lineage: Eukaryota; Metazoa; Arthropoda; Insecta; Blattodea; Termopsidae
Source: RefSeq, a predicted model, not a curated record
CAAAAGGCCUAAACUGCCUAAAUGGUCUAAAGGACCUAAAUGGGCCAGAGGGCUUAAAUGGUCAAGAGUGCCUAAAUUGUCUAGAGGGCCUAACUGGCUCAAAUGGGCUAAAAGGGCCGAAAUGGCACAAAGGCCAAUUUUGUAUAUGUACGUUGUUAGGUUAGGUUCGUUUAGGCUAGGUUAGUUUAUGGCGGAUUGAUAGAUUGGGCUGUUUGUUUCCAAGGUCAGAGUGGGCUUCAGUGGCCGAAAGGGUCUAAAAUCCCCAAUGGGCCGAAUGGGCGAUAUACUUAAGUGACAAUACCCGUUAACCCUGUUGAUAUUCGAAUCUGGUACGGACAGAAUACAAGUUUAAAGCAUUUAAACAGUACCUAACAGCCCUACAUUUUGCGGGGUAUUAAAGUUAUUUCAAAAUAUACUAAAGAUGAAGAAAGCUGAGUUCUCAUGAUACGCUUACAAUUUGUUUCUGUGGUAAUAAUUCGAUAAAAUCCAAUUCUAGACAGACAAAGGGGAUACGCGUUCGCGCUGUAUGUUUUGAUUCCUGGAACAGAUUGCUCUAGGAGAGAAACAAUGAACGUUUAUAAAGUCGUUGUUUCAAUGAAAUACGAACACCACCCGAUCUGUUAUCCUCUUGCAUAACCAACCCAUAUUGUGGCCACCGAUUUUGUGAUUUUUCGUCAAAACGAAAACGCCAGUCAUUGCAAUUAGAGACAGUACAAAAGAAAGCUUAUUCACCUCACACAUUGCUUUUGCCAAAUACAAUCCACAAUCAUUCAAAAAAUACAUUCAUGGGUCGCAAUUGUAUAAACACUACAGACCUCUAGUAGCUAAGCCAUUAAAUAUAUGAAGCGUGUACAGUGUAACCAAUGCGACUAAAUUUCUCUUGCUUGUUAGUGACAUUUGUAAAUGUGAUUUAAAAUGUAUGUUCACUACAAAAGUAGCUGUUACAUGUUACUUAUAAUCUAUAAUGUUGUUGUACCCUACAUACUAUAUAUUUUGUACCUAAAAGAAUUUAGUUGUGAAUUAAUAGAGAUAGUUGAUGGGAGAUUGGUUUGCCUGGCUGCAAUAAAGAUGGCGGAAGUCUUGUUGUGUAGUUAAGCCAACGUUUUGUCUGACUUGCAUACGCGGCGAGUUUGUGUUCACUUUUCCUUAUAUUAAUAGUUGUAUUACACAAGCAGUGGGGAUAAUCUGUGUCGUUGUUUACAUGCAUGUAGGUAAAUGGCAAAUGACCAAGCUUGCUGUUUUUUGAAAAUGUUUCAAGAGGAAGUUUUGAAGUCAUAUCGCUGAACUGAGCAAAGCAAAUGAAACACAAGAAAUUCAACCAGGAAGGAGGUACCAAAAACUGCCCAGAAGUAUGAUGUUAUAAAUGGAAUUAUAAUAUCAAAUCCAAAUGAAGAUGAUUCUUCUGGUGACAAAGAGGAUGAGAUGAAGUCAUCUGGAGAUAUAAACUGAGAUUGCUGUGAUUCUGAGGGUUCAGAUGCAGAGAUGCUUGUUGGACUGAUGUGCGAAGCCCGAAGAAUGCUUCGGCUGACACAGUCUCCAAGAAUAGACAAAGAUGACUGUGAUCUGUAUUUUAGCGCCAUGUAGUCUUGUGGAUGUUUAUCAAUGUUUCAGAGGUCUCUUCAGUUGAUGUAGGCAGCAAGGAUUUCUGAGACAGUGGUAAACAUCUAUCAAACUACACAGUGUUACAACUCAAAAGACAGCCAUCUUUAUUCUCACGGUCGUGAGAACCUCAGACCCUACAAGAAUAGAACUGACCUGCUCACCUAUUUGAUUCUUCUUCUUUUAUAGCUCUCCGGUCCGUAUUCGGUCCAUGGCCUCCUCAAUUCUCCUCGUCCAUUCGGUCCUCUGUUAGGUCCAUCUGUCCGAGGCUUUCAUCGAGGUUUUGAAACAUCUACCUUUUUAUGGUGCAAGGUUGUUAGCCUUGUGACCAACCCCCAACCUGGAGGACCAGGGUACCUGUCCUAGUCUGACCUCUCCCCCUCGACCAAUCUACUCUCAGAACUUUAUCGUAGUUUUUCUGCAUUGUGGCAAUAGCACAGUUAAUACAGCCAAGUGUGACAGAUAUUGGCUAUUGUAUCAGGAGUAGAUAACGGUGAGAAACCGUGGCUCAUCUUGUGGCUUAUUGAGGUGGGUGCUUCUUAAAUCUGAAAACCUUCAUACCUUGUUAUCUUAAGGGAAUCUUAUGGCAUGGUGCUUAAGUACCAAUGUCAACUUUAUCAUUUUGUAGUUUGGAAAUUAAAUAUGAUAAAAAAACAGUGCCAAGACCAUAGUUGUUUGAGGAGAUUACAGGAAUAAAGGCCACAACCCCAAACAAGUGUUUUGGGUAUCAGUCCCAGUGAAGAUUUUUCUGUACCUUAGAAAUUAAUUAUGGUAGAAGAACAUGGGUAAGACCAACGUUAUUUGUUUUGAUAGUGAUAAUAAAGUAUCAAAGGUCUCGGACUCAAAAAGGCUGUCCUGAUAUCAAGUCUGAGUGAAGAUGUUUUCUAUAUUUUGGAAAGUGAUGUGAUAUAAGAUGAUGGAUAAGAAUGGCGAUUUUUUUUCGGCAAGCAGACUGCAGAAUCAAACACCGCUAAAACACAGACUGAAAAAAGUGUCCCUUGUAAAACAUCUGGUAAAGAUAGUUUUUCUGAAUAUUGAAAACUAAUUGCACUAGAUGAUUGUAUGAAGACAAAUGAACUAAAGAUUAUAAAACAACAGUUUUAAUACCAAAAUUGCUCUUAUCAGAGAUAAUAUCCCCAAAAAUUAUGAGUUGGACAAGAUUUCAUGUUCAAUUCUUAAGGCAGAACAUAACAGAACUCAGAAUUUUAACAGAAUCUGCAAAAAGGAAAAUGGAGUUGGUCCCUAAGCACCUCUAAUGUAAUACUGCCUGCCCACAUUUAUGGUGUAACUGAUAUGAUGAGGAAGAAUGGGCCAAACUGAUAAGUUUUUGAAACUAAUUACUGCAGAUAAUACUGUAAAGACAAAUGUUCUUGGGUUUUGGGAUCCAUUGUUUUUAUUGUGUCAAAUGAUUGGCCUAAGAUCAGCUUUGGGACAAGAAACAUUGAUAAGAAAAUGUUAACAUUCCUCAGAUUUCUGCACAGUAACAGUUCAGGUGCUGUGCUAGUUUUAAUAUGGUUAAACACAUUCGGCCAAUUAUCAUUUCUUGCAUUUAGGCAUGUGUCCAUUUCGCUUUGCAAAAUCAGGAUUAAUCAUUCAACACAGAAGAACUGAAUUAACCUUUUAAAGCCUGAUUAUUUCUGUUAGCAAUACUAAGGAGUUAAUCUUUGUAAUUAAUGGAGGUGUGGACUGAGUUUUAGAAUAUUAUUUAGAUGAGCUUUGUGAUUCAAGGGUUAAGAGUCUUUUGAAUUGUAUUGGACAAAGCGAGAUACUUGAGAACCAAAGUGAGUCUAUUAUGUUUAAUGAUCAGACCAUUAGUAAUCUAAAAUGGAGAAAAAUGCAAAACUGUUGUCCAAAUUAAUAAGCCUCGAAUCACUUUUAUUUUCUUAUAGGAAGGAUGACAUCACAACCGAGUGUGAAAAAAAGGAAACCAGAAAAUUAAAUUUGAACAGAUGGCACUGUUUGGAGCAAAAAGCUUGUAAAGACAUCAGAUUCUAUUCUUCAUGCUUAUGAGGUCCCAGUAUCAGUUCUUUGCCCAGACCCCAGUUAUCCUGACUGAGGUUUUAUGUUCUUUUCUUGAUUCAUCCAGCCAAGGAAUUAAAUUUGAAUGGCCAUGGCAUCUUUCAGUUCAUCAUGAACAGUUAUUCACCCACUUGACAUUGGAUAACUUAUGCAAGUAAGAAAGAGCAAUUAAAUAAAUUAAGAGGUAUACAGGAAGCAGAAGCUACACAUAUGAUUAUUUUCCUUUAGUUACGGACCUACCACAUUCAAAAUUCUUCAGGUUUGACUGUGUCAGUACAAUUAUUGGAUCAUUUGUGGACCAUUUCAUCAGUUUCUACUCAGUUGAUAUAAUCCUGUGUUUCUCAAGUUGGUUGUGCUAAAGGGGUUUACGAGUUGAGUAGUGCUGUUUUUAUGCUGUAUUGCUGUAAGUUGUAAGAUUUUUGAUAACAUUUUACUUCCACAUUGGUUAAAACAUGACCAAACAAUUAAACCAUCUAUCUGUAUUUUAGUUGGUCAUGUUUAACCAUAAUGGUUAAGAUAAUUUUUGGUGAGGGGUCUGCAGUACCAGAAAUGUUGAUUUUAUUUCAGCCUUCUAUCCAUUGGGUAUGCCAGUCAGGGUAUGAAGCUGGUCACUCACCUCCAUUUAAAGGUAAGGAAAAAGUGGAACUAUACCUCCACUGCCAAUUUAUUUUCAUGGCAUGGUGCUUAAUAAGUACCAGGAUCAACUUUACCACAAUUUAUAGUGAUUUAGGAAGGGAUCCAUAUAAAUUUUUUAGAGAUAUCUGCUGAUAAACUAAUCUACAAUGUUGGUUGGUAUUACGUUUCCAGAUUCUGUAAUAAAAAGCUGAAUUUAUGUUACUUCAUGUCUGUUUGUUACAUGUAAGUUGUAUAUAACUUAUAUUCAAGUCAGUCCACGAAGGUCUAGUCUACUCGUUGAAUAGAAUGAAGUGAAUUCUCCAAGGUCAGUGUAAGGUAUAGCAAUAGGAGGAGGAUUUCCACCCCUCCCCCAAUUAUUUGUCUCCUAUGUAUAAUGUAAUGUGUUCUGCAAGAAUACCCCUUUUCCUAUGUUCUCUUGUGUUAUGCAGAGUUUCUUAAAUUUUUAUCCACUUAAUGUUGUGGCAGUAUACAUAUCUUCAUGCAUUGUGAAUAUGUCAAACAAGACUGGAAAGGUGUAAUCCAUACCUGAAUACACACAUGCAUUCUUUGCAAGUUCUGAAUGUUCCUAGAUGAAAUAAAAAAAAGUGUAUCAUAUCUUAA